Molecule: long non-coding RNA, 1505 nt
Organism: Orbicella faveolata
Lineage: Eukaryota; Metazoa; Cnidaria; Anthozoa; Scleractinia; Merulinidae
Source: RefSeq, a predicted model, not a curated record
GUUUAUACCAAUAUACCACAAUCUGUACAAUCAGCAGGUACCCUGGAGUCUUACUACAGUGAUCAUAAGCCUAUUUAUAUUUCCAUGAAAGCUGUUUGAAUAUUUGGUAAAAAAAUUUCACCAUGUGCAUCAUAUGAGAUCAUUAUAAUUAUAUUUAAUUUAGCUGAAUAUGUAACUUUACAUACCAAAUAAAUAUCUAAGUGUAUCAAGCAACUAUUUGAAUCACAUAUAGAAAACAGUCACAACAUUUAUUGGCAGAAAUAAAGAAUGGUUUUGAUUUCCUGUGCUUUUCAUGUUCUUAAAUUCCUAGUCCUUAUAGAGAUUCAAAAUUACAUGUAACUCUACCAGAAUUUGCAGAUUCUGUACAUAAGAAUAAAUUUUUCAGGUCAAAGAGAUAAUUUAGCUCCAAUGUUUCUUAAGGAAAGCAUACCAUUUAUGACUGGCUUUUCCUUUCUUAAAGCCUUUCCAGAAAAGCAAGAAAUAUCACUUGGACACCACAUUUAGGUGAAGCAAGUUGUACUAUUGUGCAAAUCCAUAUAACCCAGAUGAACACUGCAAUAACAACUACAGUAUAAUAUGCAAGUGACAGUAAGCAGAUGUUAAUAUUAACAACACCAUUACUGAUGUUAUACAUGCCCGUUUACCAGCUGCAAAAAAUAAUAUCGAAAGACUUCGUAGAAACUGGCUUUAACAAGACAAACUUGUCACCCUUAAGACUUCAUGGAAUUAAUCUGAGAAUUACAGAUGGAUGUAAAAUACUCCUGCUUACAAAGAGAGUUGCUUUCAACACUUGUGUUAGCUGCCACUUGAGCUGUUGAAACUCAUUCUUUGCAAAAGACAUUGGUUACAAGCAUAUAAAAUGGCUCUCCAACCUGCACUUAUAAUUACACAGUUGGGAACACUUUGGAACUUUAUCCUCGUAUGUUGCUUAAAGUGAAGAAUGUCAACAAGUGAAAUCCACCUGAACUCACUACAUGUGUCAAAACUUAACUCACAAAUGAACCUAUAGCUUUACAGUGGAAUACAGAAAUACAACUUCAACUUAAAAUUAGCAGCUCCAUAUAACAUUCAUAUACAUGAAAAUGUACAUGUAGAGUAACAUCAGUCCUUCAUAUAUGGACUGCAAUUAAAUGAAACUACCGGUACUAGACCCCAUCAUAAAGAAACACAAAAAUAGAAUGUAUUAACCUGUCUCUAUUAAUUAAAUAGAAAUCUUGCAGUGUUUAUUUCAAGUAUAAGCUAUCCUAACUUUUCCAGCUUAUACCUGUUGAAUUUUCAUUCAAUUCUUAAAAUGGUUGUCUUGCUGUACUUCUACUACAUGUGUGUCCUGCUGCGGUAAAGAUUAUGUUAUUUAUAACUCAGCAAAAAAUUGAUAACGUGCAUGUAUAGGAGACUGUUGGCUAAAAUGUUUCCUCUUAGCUUUUAUGUGCUACGUUAUGGUAGUCAGUAUUUCAGUGCGUUACUAAGAAAGAAAAUGUUCCUAAUAAAAGGAGUGUUCUUCUUGA